RNAcentral lists this ribosomal RNA (421 nucleotides) under uncultured archaeon. RNAcentral's name for it is "partial 16S ribosomal RNA". It matches the Rfam family "Archaeal small subunit ribosomal RNA", at positions 323 to 746 of the family's 1478-position model. The record is from RNAcentral.
CUACGGGGUGCUGCAGUUAGGAAUAUUCUGCAAUGCGCGUAAGCGUGACAGAUUGAGCCAGAGUGCUUUUCAUUUGAAAAGCUUUUGCCAAAUGCAAAAAGUUUGGCGAAUAAGGACUGGGUAAGACAGGUGCCAGCCGCCGCGGUAAUACCUGCGGUCCAGGUCGCAGCCAUCAUUAUUGGGUCUAAAACAUCCGUAGCUUGCUUAGUAAGUUUCUUGUGAAAUUCUAUAUCUCAAGUAUGGAGCGGGCAAGAAGUACUGUUAAGCUAGAGACUGGAAGACGUAAGAAGUACGUUUGGAGUAGCGGUAAAAUGUGUUAAUCCCAAACGGACUAACAACAGCGAAGGCAUCUUACGAGGACAGUUCUGACAGUAAGGGAUGAAGGCUAGGGGCGCAAAACGGAUUAGAUACCCGUGUAGUC